RNAcentral lists this ribosomal RNA (649 nucleotides) under uncultured bacterium. RNAcentral's name for it is "bacterial SSU rRNA". It matches the Rfam family "Bacterial small subunit ribosomal RNA", at positions 43 to 690 of the family's 1533-position model. The record is from RNAcentral.
CAGGCCUAACACAUGCAAGUCGAGCGAGAAAGCACUUCGGUGUGAGUAGAGCGGCGGACGGGUGAGUAACGCGUAGGAAUCUACCCAGUAGUGGGGGACAACAGUCGGAAACGGCUGCUAAUACCGCAUACGCCCUAUGGGGGAAAGCGGGGGAUCUUCGGACCUCGCGCUAUUGGAUGAGCCUGCGUUGGAUUAGCUAGUUGGUGGGGUAAAGGCCUACCAAGGCGACGAUCCAUAGCUGGUCUGAGAGGAUGAUCAGCCACACUGGGACUGAGACACGGCCCAGACUCCUACGGGAGGCAGCAGUGGGGAAUAUUGCGCAAUGGGGGAAACCCUGACGCAGCCAUGCCGCGUGUGUGAAGAAGGCGCUAGGGUUGUAAAGCACUUUCAAUAGAGAGGAAAAGCUCACCGUUAAUACCGGUGAGCCCUGACGUUACCUAUAGAAGAAGCACCGGCUAACUCCGUGCCAGCAGCCGCGGUAAUACGGAGGGUGCGAGCGUUAAUCGGAAUUACUGGGCGUAAAGCGCGCGUAGGCGGUUUGUUAAGUCGGACGUGAAAGCCCCGGGCUCAACCUGGGAACUGCACCCGAUACUGGCCGACUAGAGUACGAGAGAGGGAGGUAGAAUUCCACGUGUAGCGGUGAAAUGCG